UUAGAGUGCGGGAGAGGCAAUCGGAAUUCUCGGUGUAGCGGUGAAAUGCGUAGAUAUCGAGAGGAACUCCAGUGACGAAGGUGGGUUGCUGGACCGACACUGACGCUGAGGCGCGAAAGCUAGGGGAGCAAACGGGAUUAGAUACCCCGGUAGUCCUAGCCGUAAACGAUGGACACUAGGUGUUGCCCGUAUCGACCCGGGCAGUGCCGUAGCUAACGCGUUAAGUGUCCCGCCUGGGGAGUACGCACGCAAGUGUGAAACUCAAAGGAAUUGACGGGGGCCCGCACAAGCGGUGGAGUAUGUGGUUUAAUUCGAUGCAACGCGAAGAACCUUACCAGGGCUUGACAUGUCGCGAAUCCCCUUGAAAGGGGGGAGUGCCUUCGGGAGCGCGAGCACAGGUGGUGCAUGGCUGUCGUCAGCUCGUGUCGUGAGAUGUUGGGUUAAGUCCCGCAACGAGCGCAACCCACAUUCUCAGUUGCCAUCAUUCGGUUGGGCACUCUGGGGAAACUGCCGGUGAUAAGCCGGAGGAAGGUGUGGAUGACGUCAAGUCCUCAUGGCCCUUACGGGUUGGGCUACACACGUGCUACAAUGGUGGUGACAAUGGGUAAUCCCCAAAAGCCAUCUCAGUUCGGAUUGGGGUCUGCAACUCGACCCCAUGAAGUCGGAAUCGCUAGUAAUCGCGUAACAGCAUGACGCGGUGAAUACGUUCCCGGGCCUUGUACACACCGCCCGUCACACCAUGGGAAUUGGGUCUACCCGAC
This 761-nucleotide ribosomal RNA is filed under the name uncultured Acidobacteriota bacterium. Its description in RNAcentral is "bacterial SSU rRNA". It matches the Rfam family "Bacterial small subunit ribosomal RNA", at positions 641 to 1425 of the family's 1533-position model. The record is from RNAcentral. Lineage: Bacteria; Pseudomonadati; Acidobacteriota.